This 775-nucleotide ribosomal RNA is filed under the name uncultured Neocallimastigales. Its description in RNAcentral is "partial large subunit ribosomal RNA". It matches the Rfam family "Eukaryotic large subunit ribosomal RNA", at positions 26 to 621 of the family's 3401-position model. Lineage: Eukaryota; Fungi; Neocallimastigomycota; Neocallimastigomycetes; Neocallimastigales. The record is from RNAcentral.
CGCAUCUGUGCAUGCAGCAUAUCAAUAAGCGGAGGAAAAGAAACUAACAAGGAUUCCCUUAGUAACGGCGAGUGAAGCGGGAAGAGCUCAGAUUUGAAAUCUUCAAGGUUUUACCUUGACGAAUUGUAGUUUAAAGAAGUGUUUUCUGUUGAAGUUUUGGUAAAAGUUCUUUGGAAUAGGACAUCAUAGAGGGUGAGAAUCCCGUAUUUGACCAUUAUUUUCAGCUGUGUGAUACACUUUCAAAGAGUCGGAUUGUUUGGGAAUGCAGUCCAAAAUGGGUGGUAAAUUUCAUCUAAAGCUAAAUAUUGGCGAGAGACCGAUAGCGAACAAGUACCGUGAGGGAAAGAUGAAAAGAACUUUGAAAAGAGAGUUAAACAGUACGUGAAAUUGUCAAAAGGGAAGCGUUUGACACCAGUGUUGUUUUCUCGAAAAUCAAUUAAAAAGAGUUUAGAUUUUGUUGUGUAUUGACCUUAACAGCUUGCAUUUCAAUUUUCUUGCUUUUUUAAUGCACUUUUCGUUUAACAAGUCAACAUCAGUUUCUUUUGUUGUAAAAAGGUCAUUGGAAGGUGGCUUUCUUUUCGGAGAAAGUGUUUAUAGCCUUUGACUCCUGCAAUCGGAGAGACUGAGGUCUGCAGCGUAGGAUCCUUCGGGGUUAGAUACAUUUGUGCUAAGUUAUAGCUUUUUAUAGACAACUUGUUGACUAUGAUUAGUCUUGUAGCUUACUCGCUUAUGCUAUUUUACCUACGCUUAGGAUGUUGAACUCUAUCACACACAG